CCUACGGGGGGCUGCAGUGGGGAAUAUUGGACAAUGGGGGCAACCCUGAUCCAGCCAUGCCGCGUGUGUGAAGAAGGCCCUCGGGUUGUAAAGCACUUUCAGUGAGGAAGAACGCCUGGUGGUUAAUACCCAUCAGGAAAGACAUCACUCACAGAAGAAGCACCGGCUAACUCCGUGCCAGCAGCCGCGGUAAUACGGAGGGUGCAAGCGUUAAUCGGAAUUACUGGGCGUAAAGCGCGCGUAGGUGGCUUGAUAAGCCGGUUGUGAAAGCCCCGGGCUCAACCUGGGAACGGCAUCCGGAACUGUCAAGCUAGAGUGCAGGAGAGGAAGGUAGAAUUCCCGGUGUAGCGGUGAAAUGCGUAGAGAUCGGGAGGAAUACCAGUGGCGAAGGCGGCCUUCUGGACUGACACUGACACUGAGGUGCGAAAGCGUGGGUAGCAAACAGGAUUAGAUACCCUAGUAGUC
This 465-nucleotide ribosomal RNA is filed under the name Vreelandella stevensii. RNAcentral's name for it is "partial 16S ribosomal RNA". It matches the Rfam family "Bacterial small subunit ribosomal RNA", at positions 338 to 795 of the family's 1533-position model. Lineage: Bacteria; Pseudomonadati; Pseudomonadota; Gammaproteobacteria; Oceanospirillales; Halomonadaceae. The record is from RNAcentral.